Molecule: long non-coding RNA, 574 nt
Organism: Lutra lutra (Eurasian river otter)
Lineage: Eukaryota; Metazoa; Chordata; Mammalia; Carnivora; Mustelidae
Exons: 3
Source: RefSeq, a predicted model, not a curated record
ACAGACUGCAGCUUGUUGUGGCCAGUGAGUUGGCAAGUGGUCGGAGGGUCUCAAUUCGGCGGGAGCUAUGGUUGAGAUGAGGAGUUGGUUUUCCUGGCUGAGAUUUACACUGAAGACUGGUCCCAGACCUAGGAGCAAAAGGAGGAGGAGUUUUAGCUUAGGGGGCCAAGAGUCCCUGGGCUUGCCCUGAAUGAUCCCGGCAGGACACGUGCCGUGCUUGAUCUCCCUGCGGCCGGUAACACCGAGAGCCGCCCAGGCUGGCACCAGCGAGCAGAGCCAUACUGCGGAGCUUGGGGUUCAUCAGGGAAUGAAAAUCACAGAAAAUUCUCCAAAGCUUUGGAUGGAUCUCUGUUAAACACACAUACGCUGGACCCGUUUUAUCGACUCAAAGCCUGUGCAAACUUCAUGGCUAUACAAAUUGUUUGGUGUACCUAAAGAAAGCAACAGAAAUUUCACCCAGUUAAGAGGACAGAGAGUUUUCAAGGUCAAAUCAAUGAGCCCUGUCGGAAGGAGGGCAGAGCCGAUUUCGAGAACACUCCGCCUGCGGAGGCCCCGAGGAGAGCUCACCUUGCCG